CCCAGCUACCUCCCAUCUACUAUACUGCCCCAUCUACUAUUCUGCCCCCAAAUCUGCUUUACUGCCCUCCAACCUGCCCAUAUACCACAAUCUGCCCCACUGCUCCCUAUUCUGUUCAUAUACCCCAUUCUUGUGGGAUCUGCCCACUGUAGCCGGGGUACAUACUCCCUUAAUCUUUUUUUAAUCAGGGACAUUCAUUUUCUCCUCCCCCCGCCUCCUCUCAACUGCCUUACUGGUGUUUACGAAUCAUCCGCACCCCUUAUCUACCAUACCAGGGUACAGUAAUAAUCUGCUCUUACAGACAGCUAAUGACUACCCAGUACUGUGUGGGGCAUAUCACUUGUCAAACAGCACAAUAAGCCUGGUUGUCUAAUUACUGGGUGCAAAUGGGCAUUCACUUAUAACCCACAUAAUAUAGAUAUCAGCCCUAUGCUAUACGCCAUAUUGUAGAACUGUCAAGAUUGUCAGACUGAAGUUGAAAAAGAUGUAUAUACCUCAGUGUGUGUGUGUGUCUGUCUGUCUGUCUGUGAGAGUCUGUGAGUGUCUGUCUGUGAGUGUGUCUGUGAGUGUCAGUGUGUGUGUGUGUGUCGUUCAGGGAGUGUGUGUGUGUGUCAUUCAGGGAGUGCGUAUGUCAGUGUGUGUGUAGCUGUCAGUGUGUAUGUGAGUGUAUGUGUGUGUCUGUCAAAUUAGUGAGGAUGUUCAUGUCAGUGAGUGUGUGUGUGUAAGUGUGUGUCUGUCAUUGAAAGUGUGGGUUGUUUAAACAAUGUGCAUGCCAAUGACUGUAUGUGUGCGCCAAUAACUAUGUAUCUGUCAGUGAGUGUAUGUCAGUGCAUGUGAAUGAGGGCGUGUGUCUGUCAUUCAAAAAAGUGGCCUUGACACGAAGUGGUGGGGCAAAUUUAGAUUAGGGGGGUGCCUGAAUUUAGUCGCGCCUUGGGCAGCACAAAUCCAAGAUACACCACUGAACAUACCCCAUUUGCAAUACCUUGGGUUGUCUACUAUUGCAAAUCGUAUGCCAUCAUGGGGGUAAUUUUCAUUCCUGGACUACCGUACGGUCUCAAAGGCAACAUAACCAACCUGGCGAAUUUCAGUGUGAAAAAACUGAAACGCAAGCCUUAUAUUUGACUCUGUAACUUUUGAAAACACCAUAAAACCUGUAAAUGAGGGGUAGUGUUAUACUCGGGAGACUUUGCUGAAUACAAACAGUGUUUCAAAACAGUAAUAUCGUCAGUGUAAGUGCCAUUUGUGUGUGAAAAAUGCAAAAAAUGUCACUUUCACUGACGAUAUCGUCAUUGUAAUACACUUACCCCCAUGUACUGGUUUUAUGGUGUCUUGGAAAGUUACAGGGUUAAAUAUAGUGCUAGCAAAUUAAAUUCCCUGAACUUUCUGCCUGGGUUGUCAGGCAGGUCCUGCAAAUUGUAAUUAAUAAAAUGACCUAAUUUAAAAUUAUUACAUAAAUAUAUACGUAAAAUUAUUAUAUAUAUAUAUACACACACCUGUGUGUG
This is a non-coding RNA of Pelobates cultripes (western spadefoot toad), 1502 nucleotides long. The record is from the annotation of a GenBank genome assembly. NCBI's taxonomy places the organism in Eukaryota, Metazoa, Chordata, Amphibia, Anura, Pelobatidae.